UUGUUACAGAGUAGUUAAAUUCAGAUUUUGAGAAUUUAUAUUCAUAUUACCAUAUACAAUGUAUUCUGAAAAUUCCCCAAAACAUCUGAAAUAUGAUAUCUGCAUUAUUUGUUUGUUCCUCUGAGAAAUUGACCGUCAAGAAAGAAUUCCAUAUUAUGUUUUUCCUGUUGGGCUGUUACUAAGUUGUGGAUUAUCACAAGCAACAACACAAGUGAAAGAAAAUCUAUCCCCAUCGAUAGGCUCAAAAAUUUGGAUUAAGAAAUCUCAUAUGUCAAGGAGAACGCUAAAGGAAACCAAGUUCUCAAUAGCGACCCCAGGAAUAACAUAUUUAUCUCAUCAAAGAUUUGUAAGCCUGUCUUCUCAAACCAUCUCUUUUGUAACUAAGGAUCCUCCAAAACCUUCUAGAGAACAAUGCUCUACAUAUUCAACAUGAUGAGCAAGUAAACAAAAUGAAAGUCACUUGUUGGAAACCCUGAGGAUUUGCAAAAAAAUAAAAUAAAACAAAAUAAAGAGGAAGAUACCAUCCAAGAAUCGCACAUCAGUACGUAAAUCCAGAGGCAUAAUCAAGGGACAUAAAACCCAAGAGUGAAAAAAUGGACCAUGUCCCUAAUAUGGAUAAUGAGGUCUUUGGAGAAGCAAUCAUGGUUAAAGGACACAAUCUAUGUGAAAGGAAAAGAAGCAAUGGAUGGUUCAAGGGUUAAAUGUUGUUAUACUUAGAGAAGAGGGAAGCAAAAUAAUUGUAAUCCUACCUUGUCCAGGAAUUUAACAAUGACAAAGACAUAAUUCAGGCAUAUAGUGAUAAGGUAAUAUAGGUGUGCUUGUUUCCUUAUAAUUUAGGGGCCCAAAUUCAAGUUCCCUCCAAGUGGACACUUAUGAUUGUUUCUUCUUUCCUAUAACUCAGACUGAACUUCGGAACUCAAGUUCUCAAUUUCCUGAAACAAGGACGAACUUGACUUUGAAGGGGCAAGUGCUGGGGCACCUAGAAGUCAAGUUUUGAGAGAGCAGCAAAGCAUUCAAAGCUACUUUAACACUCUCCCACACGCUCCCUCCUUCAAAACAAGCCAUAUAAGCAAUAUUUAAGUGAUUAUGAUUACUAUUAUUGCUUAUUCAAUAACUGCUUUAUUGUCUAAAAGUUGCACGUUUCUAUGCACCAAGUUCCUGCGAACCAAAUAGAACAACUCAAGUUCUCAAAAGUAAAGUUCCCCCACCUUUAACACUUGCAUAGAAACAACCAUACUAUAAGCAAAUUAUUAAAGAUAACUAAUUAUUUAUUCAAUUUAAUAUCUUAAUAAUAUUUAUUUAAUUUAUAUUGAUAUUUAAUGCAAAUUUAAAGUAAUGGAUUUAGUGGAACUGUAUCUGAAUCAGGCCUGACAAUAACUUGGGCCACCAAGUUAGUAUUGAUCCCAAAUAUUGAUCGAAUUCAAAUGAUAAGUAGGUCACAAGUUUACUAAAACUGGAUCCAGCCAAAAAAAUCUAGCUAAAAAUACUCUGAAUUAGCUCAUAAUAAUGGUUACAAUAUAAACUUGCCCUGAAGCCAUUAGGAAAAUGGUUUGGGAAUAAGCGCAAAUCCUAGAUUUGAUAUUAGAUAAAGUUCUGUUAACCUAAACAUGUUAUAAUUCAUUACCAAAUAACAUUCCCACAGGCAAUGCACUACUUGCUUCCUUGUCAAGCAGCCGUGUUUUAAAGCUCUAAGGUGUGAUCUUGUACGGCUAAUAUCAUGACUUCUUCACCACCACAUGUAAAUGACAUCAAUAUGUAUUGGGACAUCAUUGCAUUCAUUGUAUUGUUAGCAAAAUUUGACGCAGAGAGAGAAAAAAGAUCUACAUUGCCAACUGAGUACAUGUAGCACACCUUUUUUUAAAUUUGGCAUGCUUAUGUUGUUAUAUAAAGAACUGUGUUCCAUUUCCUUCUCUUAACCAAAUAGCGAAAAUAUCCAAAAUCUGAAUUUUCUUCCAUGUACCACCAAUUUAAAAGAAACAUCGCUCAUCAUUCAAUUUAUCAUAUUUUUGUUUCCAAAAUUGUUCCAAAGCAAAAGCAUGCCAUGUUCUAUCUACCAAUCUUUCUGUUAUGCAGCAAGAGACUCUAGUACACAGAAUCCUAGAUGAUUGUUGCCUGUGAUUGAUCAAUGUGAAGUCCC
RNAcentral lists this long non-coding RNA (2137 nucleotides) under Phoenix dactylifera (date palm). RNAcentral's name for it is "long non-coding RNA (PDAC_LNC010980)". Lineage: Eukaryota; Viridiplantae; Streptophyta; Magnoliopsida; Arecales; Arecaceae. The record is from RNAcentral.